GACGAACGCUGGCGGCGUGCUUAACACAUGCAAGUCGAACGGAAAGACCCUGCUUUUGGGGGGUGCUCUGGUUGCGAACGGGUGAGUAACACUUGAGUAACCUGCCCUUGACUUUGGGAUAACUUCAGGAAAGUGGGGCUAAUACGGGAUAGGAGCUCCUACUGCAUGGUGGGGGUUGAAAAGUUUCGGCGGUUGGGGAUGUACUCGCGGCUUAUCAGCUUGUUGGUGGGGUAGUGGCUUACCAAGGCUUUGACGGGUAGCCGGCCUGAGAGGGUGACCGGACCCACUGCGACUGAGAUACGGCCCAGCCUCCUCCGGGAGGCAGCAGUGGGGAAUAUUGUACAAUGGGAGGAAGCAUGACGUAGCCAAGCAGCGCGCGGGAUGAGGGCAUUCGCGUUGUAAACCGCUUUCGCCUGUCACGAAGCGUGAGUGACGGUAAUGGGUAAAGAAGCACCGGCUAACUCCGUG
This 468-nucleotide ribosomal RNA is filed under the name uncultured bacterium. RNAcentral describes it as "partial 16S ribosomal RNA". It matches the Rfam family "Bacterial small subunit ribosomal RNA", at positions 28 to 507 of the family's 1533-position model. The record is from RNAcentral.